ACGAUAGCAAUACUUAGUGGCAGACGGGUGAGUAACAUGUGGGUAUCUGCCCUUGGCCUGGAAUAACACGGAAACUUGUGCUAAUACCGGAUAAGUCUUUACGGAGAAAGCUUUAUGCACCAUUGGAUGAGCCCGCACUUGAUUAGUUUGUUGGUAGGGUAAUGGCCUACCAAGACUAUGAUCAAUAGCUGAUUUGAGAGGAUGAUCAGCCACAUUGGGACUGAGACACGGCCCAAACUCCUACGGGAGGCAGCAGUGGGGAAUCUUGCACAAUGGAGGAAACUCUGAUGCAGCGAUGCCGCGUGAGUGA
This 310-nucleotide ribosomal RNA is filed under the name uncultured bacterium. Its description in RNAcentral is "bacterial SSU rRNA". It matches the Rfam family "Bacterial small subunit ribosomal RNA", at positions 79 to 408 of the family's 1533-position model. The record is from RNAcentral.